Molecule: ribosomal RNA, 207 nt
Filed under: uncultured bacterium
Lineage: Bacteria
Description: partial 16S ribosomal RNA
Rfam family: Bacterial small subunit ribosomal RNA
Source: RNAcentral
UGCGUAGGUGGUUUCGUGUGUCGGAUGUGAAAGCCCAUGGCUCAACCGUGGAAUGGCAUCCGAAACUGCGGAACUAGAGUCCAGGAGGGGAGAGCGGAAUUCUUGGUGUAGCGGUGAAAUGCGUUGAUAUCAAGAAGAACACCGGUGGCGAAGGCGGCUCUCUGGAAUGGUACUGACACUGAGGCACGAAAGCUGGGGGAGCAAACA